Long non-coding RNA from Scylla paramamosain (green mud crab), 1144 nucleotides. RefSeq lists it as uncharacterized. Lineage: Eukaryota; Metazoa; Arthropoda; Malacostraca; Decapoda; Portunidae. The record is from RefSeq and is a predicted model, not a curated record. The transcript is spliced from 6 exons.
UCGUAUAUUUGUUAUCAAUGGUGCGCAUGCUCGAUGGCGACGUGACGUUGAGUCACGUGUUAAGACCUAUGAUGACAUGGGGGUAACCUGCUGCCAAUCAGGUCGCACGGAAAUUUGUCGGCCAAUCACACAGGCACGUAUGUUUAGAGGAGGAAGAACCUGGGACUGUGUUGCAUCAGUUACACCAUGACUACGGAAGAGAUGUGUGCAGGCUGCGAAUAUACGAACUGUCAGUUUAUCGCCAGUUCCCACAAUUUCUUCUUUAGGCUUGCCCAGUUAACUGUUUGAUCUCUGUGAUCAAUCGCUGGCUGUGCUCUUGGGGAUCCACAGGAUUGAGAUUCAUGACUGAAGCUUUCCAUCUGUUUUCUCCCUGAAAACAACAAAGUCAACAACAAUGUGAGGUCGCAUCUUCCAUGACUGUAACUGUAGAUAAGUAUAAAAAAUGACACUGGCAGAGUGAUGGAGUAAUUCUACAAUGUAUGAAAAACUGAAGGAUGAACUGAGAACGGACAGGGAGCAUCCAUUGAAGUCUGACAGCUUGGCUCCUUUCACUGCCACAACUGGUUGCUGUGAUCCAUCAAAUGUCUCUGCUUGAGUUCCCCAUAAUGCUAAUGCAUUUGUUCAACACGCCCCCACCCCACCCCGAGUCACUGGCUUCCCUUCCUUCGCCCUCAUUCAACCUGUUGCAUAGCAUUGGUAGUUGCUCCAAUACUUCACACUACCCCUCCUGCUUGAAAUAAUCAUCAUUUUAAAGGCUUGGUGAAAGUGCACCAAGUUUAAAAGACAAAAAUCAAAAUGGGUUUGAGACAAAACCAAAAAUGAAAGAUGGCAUGUAUACAAUACAGGGAAAAGUGAGUUUGGCAGGUUAUAGAACAAUGAUGAUAGUUUUGUCUUUGAUGCUGUGAAAUCAAUAAUACAUAUAACAAUCUUAAAAGUCAAGUAAAUUCCCACAAUAAAAAAAUUUUCUUAAAAGUACCAUGUGAUAAUUCCAUUUAACAUUGUGUGGGGUGACCAAUUAGUUUUGACCCUACGCAGAGAGCAGUGACAUAGGCAAAUCUCAUAGAAAAGUCUGCUUGUUGAAUGCAAUAUGGCUCUUGAUAUAAGGAAUCUGCUUGAAAACUGCAUCCUCGUUUUGUUAUAUAUA